This 418-nucleotide long non-coding RNA is filed under the name Capsella grandiflora. Its description in RNAcentral is "long non-coding RNA (CGRA_LNC000593)". Lineage: Eukaryota; Viridiplantae; Streptophyta; Magnoliopsida; Brassicales; Brassicaceae. The record is from RNAcentral.
GAUUCAUUUUGUUUAUGCCACGUGGUUGACAGGUAAACAAGGAUCAGGGUUAUAAUGGUCAAUGUCAAAAGUAAGAGGUAAAACCGUCAAUUCAUUUUUUAUCUGUCGAGAAAUAAAAUAUUUUUUUGUUUUUAAAAAUUAAGAUUUAUAAAAAUAAAAAUAAAACUCAAAAGGGAAUAAAAAGAAAAAAAAGCAAUCGGAGGAAACAGAUGAAUCUGAGAGUAUCGGCGACGGCAUAUAUACGACGCCGUCGAGGAUCGGUGAAGAGAUGAAGUUUUCGAAAAUUGAGGAAGUAUGUUGCAGGCGAAGAUCGGAGUUUGAGAUACCGUCGCCGGAGAUCGGCGGAGGAGGAGGAAAAGGGGAGAAAUUAAAGAGAGGGAGAGAGAGAGAGAGAGAUGAGAGGUUAAAGUCGCAGGCG